GCGAACGCUGGCGGCAGGCCUAACACAUGCAAGUCGAACGAACCUUUCGGGGUUAGUGGCGGACGGGUGAGUAACACGUGGGAACGUGCCUUUAGGUUCGGAAUAACUCAGGGAAACUUGUGCUAAUACCGAAUGUGCCCUUCGGGGGAAAGAUUAAUCGCCUUUAGAGCGGCCCGCGUCUGAUUAGCUAGUUGGUUGAGGUAAUGGCUCACCAAGGCGACGAUCAGUAGCUGGUCUGAGAGGAUGAUCAGCCACAUUGGGACUGAGACACGGCCCAAACUCCUACGGGAGGCAGCAGUGGGGAAUCUUGCGCAAUGGGCGAAAGCCUGACGCAGCCAUGCCGCGUGAAUGAUGAAGGACUUAGGAUUGUAAAAUUCUUUCACCGGGGACGAUAAUGACGGUACCCGGAGAAGAAGCCCCGGCUAACUUCGUG
Molecule: ribosomal RNA, 433 nt
Filed under: uncultured bacterium
Lineage: Bacteria
Description: partial 16S ribosomal RNA
Rfam family: Bacterial small subunit ribosomal RNA
Source: RNAcentral